RNAcentral lists this long non-coding RNA (2233 nucleotides) under Equus caballus (horse). RNAcentral describes it as "lncRNA (ENSECAG00000044405.1)". Lineage: Eukaryota; Metazoa; Chordata; Mammalia; Perissodactyla; Equidae. The record is from RNAcentral.
CCUUUUCUGAAGAAAAAUAUUCACUUGUUUGCAUUAGUUAUGGUAUUGACAUUUAAGCAAACAACACUUUAUAAUCCUUUGCAGUACAACAUUGGGUGCUGGUUAGGGUUUGCUGUCCUGAAUGUUGGAGGACAAUUGCACACAUCUCUGAGAAGCCAUUCUGCUUCUGCUAAGCUAGUGUUCUUCCCUAGAAGUCAUUUCAAUGCUGUCAUUAUGGAGUACUGCCCCGACUUCCCAUUUCUUCUUCUAGACUGGGUGGAACACAGAACAGUGAAGCUUCCCUUUACUUUCCUCCCAGAGCCCGCAGCCUAAAGGAAGCCUAAAGGAAGCUGGAAAUCAACACUGUUUCCAAGAGUUGGAGUAAACAACAAUGAAAGUCACCAAUAACAAUGACAAUGAAAUGUCGCUAUGCCUCAAAUCUACCAAUUUGUCAAAAUUUGAUUAAAAUGAAUUGGAAAACAAGUUCACUAAAGGAAGAUAUAUAGCCUAGAGAUGUGUGGGGACCAAGCAAGGGAUAUUUUCAUCCAAAGAAGCUAAUUAUAUGCACAGAGACCUCAGUUUCCCUUGAGAAUCAGUUGGCAGAAACUUUUCCUCUCUCAUGCCACCUGCAUCUUCUCUCCAUAACUUGCUGCUCACUUCUUCCCCCCAGCAUCCUCCCUCUUGGUCCUGGCUGUCCAUCCCUGUGGCCCCCAUGCUGACUUCAGAUUUUCUACUUCCUCUCCUCCUCACUCUUCGGGAAAGAUAAAGAUAAGGCUAAUUUCUCUCCAUUAGCUUUUCAAAUUCCUUCCUCACCUCUCUUCAGGCAGGACAAUAAGAUGGUUAAGUGCACAAGUUUGAACCCCAGCCUAUCUCCUUAACUGCCAUGAGAUCUACCUCACAGAAGUGUUAUAAAGAAUGAGUGAGUUUGUGCACGUAAAGCAUCAAAGGCCAGAAUAAGCCCUCAGUGAAUAGUGGUUAUUAUCGUUAUUAGGAACAAUUUAGUUUCACUGUGCUCAGCAAAUACAACAUCCCUGUGCCACCAGCGUACAAUCCCCUCACUAUAUGUAUUCAAGGUCCUACCCCUUUCAGCUACACUUAGGCCUGUGAGGAGGAGGGAAGAGGAAUGCUGUCACCUUCCAAGACUUUUAUCUGGAACAGCCUUUAUCUCUUUCACUGUGGGGAUUUUCCCCAGUCUCUUUUGUUCUCUGUUUCAGAGCUUAUUUUGCCUCCCUUUUGUGUUACAUUCCCUUCUAUAGGAGGGUAGAGUUGCCCUAUUUACAAGAGUAGCUAUCACCAUGGUAACUUGGUAUUUUGAUACAGGCAUGAAACAAUCCCGAGGGAAAAAUAGGUCCCUUAUUUUUCAACUUUGGCAUGUAGAUGUAUGAGAAUCAAAAUACUUGCCCAGCAUAAUAUAGCUGGUUCAAAUGUCAAAGCAAAGAAACAAGUUUUCUUGAUAUUUUAAAUAAGUAUUGAGCAACCACAGCAUGCUAUCAAUUGAGCAGAACAUUCUCACAAUUAAUUUCUGCCUCUUAGGCACGAAAGCUUGCAGGCAACAUGGCAUAUACUUCCGUGAACUCAUUCUCUGAAUGAAAAAAUUGGUACCCAUGGUCAGACAAAGAACUGUCAAGUUCACUCAAAUUGCAAAAGGAGUCGUGAAAGAAGUCAUUUGAAGUUUCUGGAAUAUUUUGGUUGUUUAUUGAAGGGGAACAAGACAGAAAAUUUUAAAAUCAGCGUCUUCUGAAUGGGUCAGAGGAACUUGCUUGCUGUCUAUAUCAUUUGUACAUUGCAUAUGGAAGAAGGAGCAGCUGGUUUUGAUUAUUGAAGGCCUACAGUGUUCCAGACUCCCUAAGGUCUCUACAGAAGAGAUCUUUGGGGAAUAUGAGUAAAGUGACACACUAUGACCAACUACCUGCGGAGACACUUUUAAAGAAAAAUAUUUAAUUGUGAAUUUGAUGCCAUAUUGAUAUCUCCCUGACUUGCUAGUAAAGGAGAAUGAAGCUUUUCUUUAAAAACAAAACAAAGGCAUUUGGUGAGUUGAAAUGCUGAGUUAUACACACUUUGGGAAGAGUUAUAUAAUGUUAUCUCUUUCUGAUAUAAGGAUAAGGGACAUAUCACUUGGAAAGUGAUCACUUUCCAAGCUCACUCUUUUUCAUGAAGAAGUAGCAUAAUGAUAAUCAAAAUAGUAAGAGCUAAUUGAGUUGUUACUGUAUAUUCAAAGCACUUCAUGCAUAUUAACUCAUUUACUACUCAGAAC